Molecule: ribosomal RNA, 254 nt
Filed under: uncultured Comamonadaceae bacterium
Lineage: Bacteria; Pseudomonadati; Pseudomonadota; Betaproteobacteria; Burkholderiales; Comamonadaceae
Description: partial 16S ribosomal RNA
Rfam family: Bacterial small subunit ribosomal RNA
Source: RNAcentral
UACAGAGGGUGUGAGCGUUAAUCGGAAUUACUGGGCGUAAAGCGUGCGCAGGCGGUUUUGUAAGACAGAGGUGAAAUCCCCGGGCUCAACCUGGGAACUGCCUUUGUGACUGCAAGGCUAGAGUACGGCAGAGGGGGGGUGGAAUUCCGCGUGUAGCAGUGAAAUGCGUAGAUAUGCGGAGGAACACCGAUGGCGAAGGCAACCCCCUGGGCCUGUACUGACGCUCAUGCACGAAAGCGUGGGGAGCAAAUAGG